This 478-nucleotide ribosomal RNA is filed under the name uncultured bacterium. RNAcentral's name for it is "partial 16S ribosomal RNA". It matches the Rfam family "Bacterial small subunit ribosomal RNA", at positions 28 to 507 of the family's 1533-position model. The record is from RNAcentral.
GAUGAACGCUGGCGGCGUGCUUAACACAUGCAAGUCGAACGGGAAAUCUUUUAAUGAAGCUUCGGCAGAUUUAGCUGGUUUCUAGUGGCGGACGGGUGAGUAACGCGUGGGUAACCUGCCUUAUACAGGGGGAUAACAGUCAGAAAUGACUGCUAAUACCGCAUAAGCGCACAGGACCGCAUGGUCCGGUGUGAAAAACUCCGGUGGUAUAAGAUGGACCCGCGUUGGAUUAGCUUGUUGGUGGGGUAACGGCUCACCAAGGCGACGAUCCAUAGCCGGCCUGAGAGGGUGAACGGCCACAUUGGGACUGAGACACGGCCCAGACUCCUACGGGAGGCAGCAGUGGGGAAUAUUGCACAAUGGGGGAAACCCUGAUGCAGCGACGCCGCGUGAAGGAAGAAGUAUCUCGGUAUGUAAACUUCUAUCAGCAGGGAAGAUAGUGACGGUACCUGACUAAGAAGCCCCGGCUAACUACGUG